RNAcentral lists this transfer RNA (74 nucleotides) under Tauraco erythrolophus (red-crested turaco). It matches the Rfam family "tRNA". Rfam says of the family: Transfer RNA (tRNA) molecules are approximately 80 nucleotides in length. Their secondary structure includes four short double-helical elements and three loops (D, anti-codon, and T loops). Further hydrogen bonds mediate the characteristic L-shaped molecular structure. tRNAs have two regions of fundamental functional importance: the anti-codon, which is responsible for specific mRNA codon recognition, and the 3' end, to which the tRNAs corresponding amino acid is attached (by aminoacyl-tRNA synthetases). tRNAs cope with the degeneracy of the genetic code in two manners: having more than one tRNA (with a specific anti-codon) for a particular amino acid; and 'wobble' base-pairing, i.e. permitting non-standard base-pairing at the 3rd anti-codon position. The record is from Rfam by way of RNAcentral. Lineage: Eukaryota; Metazoa; Chordata; Aves; Musophagiformes; Musophagidae.
GUCUCUGUGGUGCAGUCGGUUAGUGUGUUCGGCUGUUAACCAAAAGGUUGGUGGCUUGAGCCCGUUCAGGGACA